GAUGAACGCUGGCGGCGUGCUUAACACAUGCAAGUCGAACGGGAAAUAUUUCAUUGAGACUUCGGUGGAUUUGAUUUAUUUCUAGUGGCGGCCGGGUGAGUAACGCGUGGGUAACCUGCCUUAUACAGGGGGAUAACAGUCAGAAAUGGCUGCUAAUACCGCAUAAGCGCACAGAGCUGCAUGGCUCAGUGUGAAAAACUCCGGUGGUAUAAGAUGGACCCGCGUUGGAUUAGCUAGUUGGUGGGGUAACGGCCCACCAAGGGGACGAUCCAUAGCCGGCCAGAGAGGGAGGACGGACACAUUGGGGCUGGGCAACAGCCCAGAAUCCUACGGGAGGGAGGAGUGGGGAAUAUUGCACAAUGGGGGAAACCCUGAUGCAGCGACGCCGCGUGAAGGAAGAAGUAUCUCGGUAUGUAAACUUCCAUCAGCAGGGAAGAUAGUGACGGUACCUGACUAAGAAGCCCCGGCUAACUACGUG
Molecule: ribosomal RNA, 478 nt
Filed under: uncultured bacterium
Lineage: Bacteria
Description: partial 16S ribosomal RNA
Rfam family: Bacterial small subunit ribosomal RNA
Source: RNAcentral